GGUUAAGUUAAUAAGGGCGCACGGUGGAUGCCUUGGCACUAGGAGCCGAAGAAGGACGUGACAAACGACGAUAUGCCUUGGGUAGCUGUAAGUAAGCGAUGAUCCAGGGAUUUCCGAAUGGGGGAACCCAACAGGUACUACCUGUUACCCAUAUCUGUUAAGGAUAUGAGGAGGAAGACGCAGUGAACUGAAACAUCUAAGUAGCUGCAGGAAGAGAAAGCAAAAGCGAUUGCCUUAGUAGCGGCGAGCGAAACGGCAGGAGGGCAAACCGAAGAGUUUACUCUUCGGGGUUGUAGGACUGCAA
This 304-nucleotide ribosomal RNA is filed under the name Streptococcus infantis. RNAcentral describes it as "partial 23S ribosomal RNA". It matches the Rfam family "Bacterial large subunit ribosomal RNA", at positions 1 to 311 of the family's 2925-position model. Lineage: Bacteria; Bacillati; Bacillota; Bacilli; Lactobacillales; Streptococcaceae. The record is from RNAcentral.